Molecule: long non-coding RNA, 3760 nt
Filed under: Nicotiana benthamiana
Lineage: Eukaryota; Viridiplantae; Streptophyta; Magnoliopsida; Solanales; Solanaceae
Description: long non-coding RNA (NBEN_LNC017343)
Source: RNAcentral
CGCUUGGCAGGUUUGACUCCUCUUUUGAGCCGAUUUGUGAUAUGUUUCCUCUAGUCGCUCAAACCUGCAAUCAAACGCACCUUGUAAGCAAUUUAGGACUAAUUUAAAGCACUUUAUGCACAAAGCUCAGGUAAAUAGGGGUAUAAAAAUGUAUAAUUCACAGUUAUCAUUGACGUCAUACAAAAGAAAGGUACCUAGUUUCGGCGUUCUGACAGUUAUGAGUGUUGACUCCUACCUGUCACAUCACGGCUUUUGGACAAAAUCAAACUCUACCUGCACGAAGGCACUGAUUCCAUCCAUCGAGGACGCACCUCGCUGCGACCCCGACGAACGGAGGGACAAACUGUAUGGGGUCGAAUUUGAUCAACCACGUCCCUAGACCAGCCUGACCGACCGCCGAACAUGUACAAGCCAAGGUAGAAGCACGAUUCAAGGGUAGCGGGAGGAACGACUCCAUAAUCUCGUCGGCCCCUCUAUAGCGUGUAUUUGAUUUCUAUUCUUUAAUAUUUCAAGGGGUAUCCCUGUCACACCUCCUUUUUCGCUAUACACCCCGCAAAGGGGUGUAAAUGAGUUUCCCACUUAAAGGACAAUCGAAACGGGAUAUAUUUAUUAAGACUUCAGAGUCGCCACUUGGGAGAUUAGUGGUGUCCCAAGUCACCGGUUGAAUCCCGAACCGAGAAAAAAGAUGACUCUGCUAACAGUCCGCGAACCAGAAAUUCGGAUAAGUAAUUCUGUUAACCCGGGAGAAAGUGUUAUGCAUUCCCGAGUUCCGUGGUUCUAGCACGGUCGGUCAACUGUUGCAUUUAGCUUUUAACUGAUUUUAUUACAUGAAGAUCCUAUGUUCCAAUUUUAUGCUUAACCGCUUUUAUUUAAUAUAAUAUUUAUUUAAGAGAAAGUGAACGUCGUUUAAAGUGUGUUUAGGAUUGCGCUGCAUCAAAUGAACCCUCAAUCCUAGGCACACUCUAUUCAAUGUUUUAGGAUUUGAAUUUGGCCCGCAUAAAAUGGACCCAUAUUUAGGAAGGUAAAAUGAUUAAAAUACGCGCCUAAAAGAGUGUAGCGCGUUAUUAUCUUUUGGGAGGGUCUUAAAAUUCACUAAACGGCCUUUCCCGAUUCUCUAAGUAUUUUUAAACCUUUACUGAGGGCCCACCAAUUUGUUUUUUUGUUGGGUGAGGCUCAUCUCAUUUUUAUUUUAAAGGCAAGCAUAAAGCAACUAUAUUUUUUAUUUUUCAUUUUGUCUCUAAAAGAAAAAAAAGAUCCUAAUUGGUUAGCUUUAGAAUUCGGGCUUCAAGUUCAAGUCCGAGCCCAAACAAAAGGAUAGACCUUUUAGCUUGAACCCGCUACGUAACUCAAAACCCAAACUUAUUAUUCAAAAGAUUUACGAGCUAGUAGCUAUUCAUCCAAGGCCCGAUGAGGCCAAACCAAACGACGCCUGCCAAUAGAACGUCUUCCCAGUAACGUCUAGCCCACAUCUAACUGCCGUAUACAUGUUAUGGAACUUGGGCCUUCAAUUCACAUAAUAAGGCCCAACAACUCUUGGGGAAUCUGACAUCCCACGCAGAAGGCAACGAUUAUUGGACUGGGCUACCAGCAAAUGCAAAAUACUAAGAGACUGGGUUCGAAUCUCAACCAACAUGCCAACACAUUUAGAUAAUGGAAGCAUAAGGUUUGCAGUAGCAAGGACGAACUCUCAAAAGACUUGCAUAAUUUAGUUUCAAUAUAAAAAUUCAACUGGAAAAGAAAUCAUUUUGUGAUAUGAAACAUUCACACAAUUUCGUUGUUCACAUGAAUAUUAUGUUAGCUCAUUCAUUCUAAAAGAACACAUGUCUCUGACUAAAAUUCAAACGAAAAUAGUCUUUCACAUGCAUAUAAAAUUAAAAAAAACUAACGUAAUCUUCUUUUUUUUUUUUGGGUAAUUAAGGCUUUCAUUAAUCACUAAUGAAGUAACAUUACAAAACCAUAGUCUAGCUUUAACUCAGCUGACUAUCUCUAAUAUAACANNNNNNNNNNNNNNNNNNNNNNNNNNNNNNNNNNNNNNNNNNNNNNNNNNNNNNNNNNNNNNNNNCUGGGGAGGGUAGUAUGUACUCAGACCUUACCCCUCCCCUGGAAUAUAUAUUUGAAGAUGUUGUAAAUGGUUUCUAAUUCGCGGGGUACCUCUAACAUUACAAGUGUAUACUAUGUCUGUCAAAAGGGCUUCAUUGCAACAAAAUGUCUUGUUGAAGAUUCUUGAAUUCCUUUACAGCCAGAUAGUAUAUGCAAACUCAGCGACUACCAUUUUGAAGAUGACUGCUCGGCAUGUUCGACCCUUGGCUUUGCUUACAAGCCACUGCAUUUUCUGGUUCUAGGCAGUGAUGUGAGGAUAAGUCUCCUUCAGCCAGUGCAUUGUUUUCUCCCAUAAUUCAACUGUGACUGGGCAGAAUAGUAGGCAGUGAUGUGAGGAUAAGGCUCCUUCAGCCAGUGCAUUGUUUUCUCCCAUAAUUCAACUGUGACUGGGCAGAAUAGUAGCAAAUGGUCCCUGGUCUCUGGAUGGUUUUGGCAUAACUUACAUUGUAACGUAAUCUUCUUUGAUCAAUCACAAUGGAAAGAAUCAUUCCUUUACUAACGUGAAGUAAAAAAAAUAUGCUAGGAAUUUCAUUUUUGGUACUCAAACCAUUCAAAUCAGUAAUAAAUCCUAGUAUAGUAAAAAUUCUACCAUACUCAUCUCUCCAGAUUCAGACUAAAACAACAUUAGCAAUAUAAAAGGAAUAAUAGCCAAAAUAAAUUUCUAUUUAGGGGACAAAGCCAACUUCCAAGUUUAAAGGCACAGUCAGUUGAUGGCAUAAUACCAAACAAUGAUAAGAACUGUUAAAUCCCACGGAGAAACAAAUAAUUAUCAUUGCCUUAGCAUUAUAAGCAUGUUCUCAUUGAAUCAAAAGGAGAAUUACAUGUCCGGGAAAAGAAAAACGGUACCUUGUAGCAGUAAUAAGUCCUUAAACAGGAUAAUCACAUUUUAAUAUGGUGAUAGCACCAUUAAAUCCAGAAGGAAAAGAACAACAUUACCUUAGUAGCAGUAAUAAGUGCUUAAAAUCGCCAAUUCAUGGGUGAUAAACGCUACAAAUUGGAGCUCAGCGAAAUAACACUUGAACAUCAACUCGCAGUACAUCGAGAGUUAGCAGUCAACAGCAGCUCAGCGAAGCAGGAUCCCAGCACUUUUACACAAACAGAUAUCCAGAUAUUCCGAGAAAUGAGUGUGAAAAUCAGUAGUAACCAUCUUGAGCAAUUUAAAUUCCUAUCCCAUUUUAUGUAGAACCUUCAGUGCAUGUGUGCAUUAAUGAAAUUAGAGAGGAAGGAGGGGGGGAAGGACUGUGUGAUUUUUCUCUAGCUUAGGUCUGUGUGUAUUUUUGACAAGAAGCAAAAGAUGAGCAGCAAGGUCAAAAAUUAGGAGACGUUUUCAACGCCAUUUUUGCUCUUCAGAGAUCUCCGAUCUAGGGAUUUUUUUGGGUCUUUUUGAUCUGAUCUCUGUGUGUGGGUGUGAAGGAGUCAAGAAGGAGAAUCAGCGCUUGGGAAUGGGACAUGCUAUAUGCGUGUCUCUAAGGGGGAAAGGGUUUGUACAGGUCGGGUCAGCGGGUUGGAUUGGGUUUGUGGGCUGUUGGGGCCCCGAUGUUGGGUAGAGUGACUUGGCUUAGGAUUUUAUAUUAGAAUUGGCCCAAGUGUAUUGACUUAAUAAGACCUCUUUUAUUUCCAUUGUUUUUCUUUUCCUUCUUUUAUCUAAUUUUGUUUUUGU